RNAcentral lists this ribosomal RNA (440 nucleotides) under uncultured bacterium. RNAcentral describes it as "partial 16S ribosomal RNA". It matches the Rfam family "Bacterial small subunit ribosomal RNA", at positions 338 to 795 of the family's 1533-position model. The record is from RNAcentral.
CCUACGGGUGGCUGCAGUGGGGAAUAUUGGACAAUGGGCGCAAGCCUGAUCCAGCCAUGCCGCGUGAGUGAUGAAGGCCCUAGGGUUGUAAAGCUCUUUUGUGCGGGAAGAUAAUGACGGUACCGCAAGAAUAAGCCCCGGCUAACUUCGUGCCAGCAGCCGCGGUAAUACGAAGGGGGCUAGCGUUGCUCGGAAUCACUGGGCGUAAAGGGUGCGUAGGCGGAUCUUUAAGUCAGAGGUGAAAGCCUGGAGCUCAACUCCAGAACUGCCUUUGAUACUGGGGAUCUCGAGUUCGGGAGAGGUGAGUGGAACUGCGAGUGUAGAGGUGAAAUUCGUAGAUAUUCGCAAGAACACCAGUGGCGAAGGCGGCUCACUGGCCCGAUACUGACGCUGAGGCACGAAAGCGUGGGGAGCAAACAGGAUUAGAUACCCCUGUAGUC